ACGUAGGGUGCAAGCGUUGUCCGGAAUUACUGGGUGUAAAGGGUGCGCAGGCGGGUCUGUUCGUCAGGGGUUAAAUAUCUCGGCUUAACCGAGAAAGUGCCCUUGAUACGGCAGAUCUUGAGUGUGAGAGAGGAUGGUAGAAUUCCUGGUGUAGCGGUGAAAUGCGUAGAUAUCAGGAGGAAUACCCGUGGCGAAGGCGGCCAUCUGGCUCACUACUGACGCUCAGGCACGAAAGCGUGGGGAUCAAACAG
RNAcentral lists this ribosomal RNA (251 nucleotides) under uncultured prokaryote. RNAcentral describes it as "partial 16S rRNA". It matches the Rfam family "Bacterial small subunit ribosomal RNA", at positions 525 to 775 of the family's 1533-position model. The record is from RNAcentral.